This 253-nucleotide ribosomal RNA is filed under the name uncultured bacterium. RNAcentral's name for it is "partial 16S ribosomal RNA". It matches the Rfam family "Bacterial small subunit ribosomal RNA", at positions 524 to 776 of the family's 1533-position model. The record is from RNAcentral.
UACGGAGGGUGCAAGCGUUAUCCGGAUUCACUGGGUUUAAAGGGUGCGUAGGUGGGCAGGUAAGUCAGUGGUGAAAUCUCUGGGCUUAACCCGGAAACUGCCAUUGAUACUAAUGGUCUUGAAUUUUGUUGAGGUAGGCGGAAUAAGUCAUGUAGCGGUGAAAUGCAUAGAUAUGACUUAGAACACCAAUUGCGAAGGCAGCUUGCUAAACAAAUAUUGACGCUGAGGCACGAAAGCGUGGGGAUCAAACAGG